RNAcentral lists this ribosomal RNA (253 nucleotides) under uncultured bacterium. Its description in RNAcentral is "partial 16S ribosomal RNA". It matches the Rfam family "Bacterial small subunit ribosomal RNA", at positions 524 to 776 of the family's 1533-position model. The record is from RNAcentral.
UACAGAGGGGGCAAGCGUUGUUCGGAAUUACUGGGCGUAAAGGGCGCGUAGGCGGCCUGUUAAGUCGAGCGUGAAAUCCCCGGGCUCAACCCGGGAACUGCGUCCGAUACUGGCAGGCUUGAAUCCGGGAGAGGGAUGCGGAAUUCCAGGUGUAGCGGUGAAAUGCGUAGAGAUCUGGAGGAACACCGGUGGCGAAGGCGGCAUCCUGGACCGGCAUUGACGCUGAGGCGCGAAAGCCAGGGGAGCAAACGGG